AACGAACGCUGGCGGCAGGCCUAACACAUGCAAGUCGAGCGGGCGUAGCAAUACGUCAGCGGCGGACGGGUGAGUAACACGUGGGAAUAUGCCUUUCGGUUUGGAACAACUCGGGGAAACCCGUGCUAAUUCCGGAUACGCCCUUAGGGGGAAAGAUUUAUCGCCGAAAGAUUAGCCCGCGUCCGAUUAGCUAGUUGGUGAGGUAACGGCCCACCAAGGCGACGAUCGGUAGCUGGUUUGAGAGAACGACCAGCCACACUGGGACUGAGACACGGCCCAGACUCCUACGGAGGCAGCAGUGGGGAAUCUUGGACAAUGGAGGAAACUCUGAUCCAGCCAUGCCGCGUGAGUGAU
This 354-nucleotide ribosomal RNA is filed under the name uncultured bacterium. RNAcentral describes it as "bacterial SSU rRNA". It matches the Rfam family "Bacterial small subunit ribosomal RNA", at positions 29 to 409 of the family's 1533-position model. The record is from RNAcentral.